RNAcentral lists this ribosomal RNA (374 nucleotides) under uncultured bacterium. RNAcentral's name for it is "bacterial SSU rRNA". It matches the Rfam family "Bacterial small subunit ribosomal RNA", at positions 524 to 898 of the family's 1533-position model. The record is from RNAcentral.
UACGUGUAGAGCUAGCGUUGCUCGGAUUUACUGGGCUUAAAGGGUGUGUAGGCGGCUUUGUAAGUAAGGUGUGAAAUCCAACGGCUUACCCGUUGAACUGCAUCUUAUACUGCUUUGCUUGAGGGUCGGAGAGGAUAGCGGAAUUCUGGGUGUAGCGGUGAAAUGCGUAGAUAUCCAGGAGAACGCCGGUGGCGAAGGUGGCUAUCUGGCCGAUUUCUGACGCUGAAACACGAAAGCCAGGGGAGCAAACGGGAUUAGAUACCCCGGUAGUCCUGGCCCUAAACGAUGUGCACUUGGUGGUGGGAUCUUCGGGUUUCGCCGCCGUAGCAAAAGCGUUAAGUGCACCGCCUGGGGAGUACGGUCGCAAGACUAAA